This 1315-nucleotide long non-coding RNA is filed under the name Oryctolagus cuniculus (rabbit). RNAcentral describes it as "lncRNA (ENSOCUG00000039228.1)". Lineage: Eukaryota; Metazoa; Chordata; Mammalia; Lagomorpha; Leporidae. The record is from RNAcentral.
AUGGAAAAGGAAAUGAGAAAUGGGAACAUGGGUCUUGGGGCUGGCACUGUGAUGCACCAGUUCAAGUGCCAGCUGCUCCUCUUCCAAUCCAGCUCUCUGCUAUGGCCUGGGAAAGCAGUAGAAGAUGGCCCAAGUCCUUGGGCCCCUGCACCCGUGUGGGAGACCCGGAACAAGCUCCUGCUCCUGGCUUCGGAUCGGCUCUGCUCUGGCUGUUGUGGCCAUCUUGGGAGUGAACCAGCAGAUGGAAGACGUCUCUCUCUCUGCCUCCACCUCUCCUUCUCUCUCUAUGAAACUGACUUUCAAAUAAAUAAAUAAAAUCUUUUAAAAAUGAAUAUCAUUUUUCUAUUUGAUGCUUUAUCAAUUGUGUGACCUGCAACAGGGAUCUGGACAAAUUGAGAAGGCGAAGAAAAAUUAUACCCUUUGGCCAGGCCACGUGCAUUCUGGGGCAUUUAGCGUGUGUAAAAUGCAGUACUCCUGCAUCGCUGUGUGCACCUGUAGGUCAUAUUUCAAACUCUGCACUGAAUGAACUUAUCUGCGACCUCUCCCCAUCGCCUUCAUUGCCUCUGACAGAUCUGUCUCCGGCUGGUGUUGACUUCUCCCUGCGGAGCGGGACCAGCAUUAAUCUUGCGGGCUUCUCUUAGGCGGAGGGCUGUUCUUUCUUUACUGAGAUUUUAAAGCAGAGUUUCCACUGACCUUUGAGUGAUUUGUCAUGUGUAGAAACCAAUUGCUUGAGUAUAGCUGGGGUCACGGGCAGUACUGCUUUUGCCAGGAUGGGAGACUCGAUUUUGUCAUUCUUCCCUGCGUAAAUCAGAGUGAGGGCACUGCCAACAGGAGCAUUUAUUAUUUAGCUUGGAAGAGAUGCUUUGGAACUGUUCUGAUUAGCCGCUCUUCUCCAGGGCUGGUGAAGUAACUUCAUCUUGUCUCCUGGAGCCUCUCCCAAAGCCUGGCAGUCGCAAGUGCGAAUGCAGUGCUGCUAGCCUCCUGUUACUGCCGCAGGCCUCUCGGUAGCUGAACUUUGCGAUGGACCAGACUUUCGGCCAUGGAGAGUGAAAGGAUUGUGUCUGCAUGGGCAGACAUGGAGAAGACCAAUAGAACUGUCCAGAGGGAUAGUGGUGAUUUGCCAAAUGAAUGGACAGUGUGCAAAGCCAGACAAUACUUAGUAGGUUCUCCCUGUUAGUGACUGUCUUGUUGUUCUGGUUUCUUGCUGAAUUGUUUAGGGAAUGAUCUCCAUGGCCCAUUUCAUAGAAAGGUUCAGUUUUCCCUAGUAAAAAGGAUUUCCUGGGUAUAUAUAUUUUUAAAUGACAAAACCUCUGUG